ACGUUUCAUUCGCCGCCUAGAGUUCAUUUUACGGCGUCAUUCUAUGGCGUCUGUCACAAACACAUUCGCUCUCGUGUUCGAAAGACUUUCUGUACAGACUUUUUCGUCUUUGAUUCUUUAGUCCAAAUAUGAGGGCUAAGUGGCGUAAGAAGCGUAUGCGCAGGUUGAAGCGCAAGAGGAGGAAGAUGCGUGCAAGAUCCAAGUAAACAUUAUUGCCCAAACGCAUGUCAUUUUUUGGUAAAAUAAUUAUGAUACUGUCGCUUUUUAUUGAUUUAUCAUUAAACGCUAAAUAUUCUACAUAAAAA
Sipha flava (yellow sugarcane aphid) is the source of this 305-nucleotide long non-coding RNA. RefSeq lists it as uncharacterized. The record is from RefSeq and is a predicted model, not a curated record. The transcript is spliced from 2 exons. Lineage: Eukaryota; Metazoa; Arthropoda; Insecta; Hemiptera; Aphididae.